GGACUGGAUGGACUCUGGUCUGAUCCAGCAGGCUAGUUCUUAUGUUCUUAUAGAACAGGGUUCUUUAAUCCAGUUACUCUGAAACCGCUGAGUUUUUAAAGAAUUUAUUAAAAGGAAAGAAAAGGAA
This is a long non-coding RNA of Sphaerodactylus townsendi, 127 nucleotides long. RefSeq lists it as uncharacterized. The transcript is spliced from 2 exons. The record is from RefSeq and is a predicted model, not a curated record. Lineage: Eukaryota; Metazoa; Chordata; Lepidosauria; Squamata; Sphaerodactylidae.